CUCAGCUGACGAGUCCCAAAUAGGACGAAAUGCGCAUCCUGGAU
Molecule: non-coding RNA, 44 nt
Organism: Trichobilharzia regenti
Lineage: Eukaryota; Metazoa; Platyhelminthes; Trematoda; Strigeidida; Schistosomatidae
Source: Rfam